Molecule: ribosomal RNA, 350 nt
Filed under: uncultured bacterium
Lineage: Bacteria
Description: bacterial SSU rRNA
Rfam family: Bacterial small subunit ribosomal RNA
Source: RNAcentral
GACGAACGCUGGCGGCGUGCUUAACACAUGCAAGUCGAGCGGUAAGGCCCUUUCGGGGUACACGAGCGGCGAACGGGUGAGUAACACGUGGGUGACCUGCCCUCAGCUCUGGGAUAAGCCCGGGAAACUGGGUCUAAUACCGGAUAUGACUUCAUGACGCAUGUUGUGGAGUGGAAAGCCUUGUGCGGCUGAGGAUGGGCCCGCGGCCUAUCAGCUUGUUGGUGGGGUGAGGCCUACCAAGGCGACGACGGGUAGCCGGCCUGAGAGGGCGACCGGCCACACUGGGACUGAGAUACGGCCCAGACUCCUACGGGAGGCAGCAGUGGGGAAUCUUGCGCAAUGGGCGAAAG